UGAAGGUUUGAUCCAACCUUAGAAACAUUUUGGCCUUAAUCAACAAGAUUUUCGGAUAAUCUGCCCCUUGAUUAUAAGGAUGUACUCUUGAUUAGCAGGAACCCUAGGUUAUUUGCCCCUUGUUAGGAGUGUCUUGAAAUGAUUCACCUUUUAAUCAGACCCUUGUUGAAAUUUCCUCAAUGCUAAGUAUUGAUUUGUGAGUGAAAUUGUUUCUUUUGAGAAGUAAUUUUAAUGCAACUCAUAUGCAAGUUUUUUUGAAAUCGGAUAAUGUUACAAGGAACAUGAUAGAAAGAAAAUGAUUAGCAAUGAUUCACAAACAUGAGGAGUCAGUUUAACAACAAUUCUGCUGAGUAUGCUUUCAUAGUUAACCUAGCUUCAAUUAGGUAUUUUGAGGGUUAUAACGUGGCCUGGUUC
RNAcentral lists this long non-coding RNA (414 nucleotides) under Trifolium pratense (red clover). Its description in RNAcentral is "long non-coding RNA (TPRA_LNC010596)". The record is from RNAcentral. Lineage: Eukaryota; Viridiplantae; Streptophyta; Magnoliopsida; Fabales; Fabaceae.